RNAcentral lists this RNase P RNA (350 nucleotides) under Eubacterium sp. Its description in RNAcentral is "RNase P RNA component class A". It matches the Rfam family "Bacterial RNase P class A". Rfam says of the family: Ribonuclease P (RNase P) is a ubiquitous endoribonuclease, found in archaea, bacteria and eukarya as well as chloroplasts and mitochondria. Its best characterised activity is the generation of mature 5'-ends of tRNAs by cleaving the 5'-leader elements of precursor-tRNAs. The record is from RNAcentral. Lineage: Bacteria; Bacillati; Bacillota; Clostridia; Eubacteriales; Eubacteriaceae.
CGAGUGGGACAUGCGGUCGCGGCCGGAAGGACCGAAAGGGACCGGCUGAGGAAAGUCCGGGCUUCACAGGGCAGGAUGCCGGAUAACGUCCGGCGGAGGCGACUCCAGGGAAAGUGCAACAGAAAAGAACCGCGCCGCUCUGCGGCGUAAGGGUGAAAAGGCAGUGUAAGAGACUACCGGUCUGCCGGUGACGGCAGACGCUGUGUAAACCCCAUCCGAAGCAAGACCGAACGGAAGACAUUGUGGCGGCCCGUCACGUCUUCGGGUAGGUCGCUGGAGUCCUCCGGCAACGGAGGAACAAGACAGAUGACCGCACACGACAUAACCCGGCUUAUCGUCCCGCUCGCAAG